UGGCCCAGCCGGAGCAGCUCCAUCCUGGAGGAGGCCUGCCGGCAGUUCCAGGACACACUGCAGGAGUGCUGGGACCUGGACCGCCAGGCCAGCGACAGCCUGGCCCAGGCGGAGCAGGGAGGACUCUGGCGCCUGCAACCUUGAUCGACAGCAAAGAUGUCCAGUGUGUAUCCUGCAUCUGCCUUUCCUGACCAUUCCUCGUGCCCCAUUCUCCGUGGGAUAGAUUCUCAUGGGGAGUGGGGGAGCCUUCGGGUGUGGCAGAACGGCAUGAUGGAAUUCAUAAGGUGAGCAGAAACUCAAGGAAAACUGUCCAAAUACCGGCUCGACUCCUGGGUACGCUGGAGCAAGGAUGAAGAAGCUCUGAGACUUUGCACGUCAGUAACCACCAACACCAUGCCUCUGGUUCCCACACCGCAGGGAUCACCUGAAGUAGAGGAUCUCAUGUAACUUCAUGGCUCUCUCUGAACUUCUGUUUCUUUAUCUGUAAGAUGGGGAUCAGAAACUCUGUCUUAAGGAGUUGUUUUGAGGAUUAAAUGAAGAAACAUGAAAAGCAACUGAUGUCCAGUGCCGAGCACAAGGCUUUUGUCCCCUACUUACGCACCCCUAACCAGGAUUCUCCACUUAGAGCUGAGAAUUUCCUUUACAGUGUGCUCUGGGGGCACCAGAAAGAAACUCGGCUUCCAUUAACCACUUCCAGGUGUCUGAAAUCCCACCACUACUUAGGGUACUUCACUCCCCAGCUGUGAGCUACUCAGCCGCCCUUAAGCAGAAAGAGAUGGGAUCCGUGUUCCCUGAAAGCUUUAGAUGGGGUUAGAGAGAAAAGAUGCACCCAAAGAUGUUUCCCAGCCCAAGAACUUGAAGGAAACCAAAAUAUUUCACCCCAAAAAAUACUUCUUUGACACAUUUCAAGGUGGCUGUUCAGAAUGGUUGGAAAUAGAAUAACCAAAAAGCUGUCUUUUUGUGGAGAGAUUUGCAUCUGUAGAGGAAAUCUGCAUUGAUGUAGCCAGGCUUUCUCCGAGGCUCUCCCUUGUCUAACUCUAGGAAAGAUUAACUGAGAGGCUGACACCUUUACAGAUCUGAAAGAAACAUUUACCCUCAGUUCUUUCUGAGGGCUGCUACCUGUGAGGUGUCAUCUACCUAACAAGACUCCCUUUGCCAACCAGGCCUCCUCUUCCCUCCCUUCCAUAACCUGUCUUGCCACUAUCUGAGCCCCCAUAUUUGUAUAAACUCAAGAUGGUGGAUAAGCUUCUGUAUCCCACUGAGGGGUUGGGGUAAUCACUUUGUGGUUCUCUC
RNAcentral lists this long non-coding RNA (1293 nucleotides) under Homo sapiens (human). RNAcentral's name for it is "novel transcript". The record is from RNAcentral. Lineage: Eukaryota; Metazoa; Chordata; Mammalia; Primates; Hominidae.